AAUCGUACCCCAAACCGACACAGGUGGUCAGGUAGAGAAUACCAAGGCGCUUGAGAGAACUCGGGUGAAGGAACUAGGCAAAAUGGUGCCGUAACUUCGGGAGAAGGCACGCUGGCAUGUAGGUGAAGUCCCUUGCGGAUGGAGCUGAAGCCAGUCGAAGAUACCAGCUGGCUGCAACUGUUUAAUAAAAACACAGCACUGUGCAAACACGAAAGUGGACGUAUACGGUGUGACGCCUGCCCGGUGCUGGAAGGUUAAUUGAUGGGGUCAGCCGCAAGGCGAAGCUCUUGAUCGAAGCCCCAGUAAACGGCGGCCGUAACUAUAACGGUCCUAAGGUAGCGAAAUUCCUUGUCGGGUAAGUUCCGACCUGCACGAAUGGCGUAAUGAUGGCCAGGCUGUCUCCACCCGAGACUCAGUGAAAUUGAACUCGCUGUGAAGAUGCAGUGUACCCGCGGCAAGACGGAAAGACCCCGUGAACCUUUACUAUAGCUUGACACUGAACAUUGAGCCUUGAUGUGUAGGAUAGGUGGGAGGCUUUGAAGCGUGGACGCCAGUCUGCGUGGAGCCAUCCUUGAAAUACCACCCUUUAAUGUUUGAUGUUCUAACUCGGCCCCGUGAUCCGGGGUGAGGACAGUGUCUGGUGGGUAGUUUGACUGGGGCGGUCUCCUCCCAAAGAGUAACGGAGGAGCACGAAGGUUAGCUAAUCACGGUCGGACAUCGUGAGGUUAGUGCAAAGGCAUAAGCUAGCUUGACUGCGAGAGUGACGGCUCGAGCAGGUACGAAAGUAGGUCUUAGUGAUCCGGUGGUUCUGAAUGGAAGGGCCAUCGCUCAACGGAUAAAAGGUACUCCGGGGAUAACAGGCUGAUACCGCCCAAGAGUUCAUAUCGACGGCGGUGUUUGGCACCUCGAUGUCGGCUCAUCACAUCCUGGGGCUGAAGUAGGUCCCAAGGGUAUGGCUGUUCGCCAUUUAAAGUGGUACGCGAGCUGGGUUUAGAACGUCGUGAGACAGUUCGGUCCCUAUCUGCCGUGGGCGUUGGAAGAUUGAGAGGGGUUGCUCCUAGUACGAGAGGACCGGAGUGAACGCACCACUGGUGUUCGGGUUGUCAUGCCAAUGGCAUUGCCCGGUAGCUAAGUGCGGAAAAGAUAAGCGCUGAAAGCAUCUAAGCGCGAAACUUGCCUCAAGAUGAGUCUUCCCUGGGCCUUUAAGGCCCCUGAAGGAACGUUUAAGACUAAGACGUUGAUAGGCUGGGUGUGUAAGUGCAGCGAUGCAUUGAGCUAACCAGUACUAAUGAUCCGUGAGGCUUAACCUU
This 1310-nucleotide ribosomal RNA is filed under the name Serratia marcescens. Its description in RNAcentral is "partial 23S ribosomal RNA". It matches the Rfam family "Bacterial large subunit ribosomal RNA", at positions 1640 to 2925 of the family's 2925-position model. RNAcentral also lists the same sequence under 1 other name. Lineage: Bacteria; Pseudomonadati; Pseudomonadota; Gammaproteobacteria; Enterobacterales; Yersiniaceae. The record is from RNAcentral.